Molecule: ribosomal RNA, 585 nt
Filed under: uncultured bacterium
Lineage: Bacteria
Description: partial 16S ribosomal RNA
Rfam family: Bacterial small subunit ribosomal RNA
Source: RNAcentral
UGGGGAAUUUUGGACAAUGGGCGAAAGCCUGAUCCAGCAAUGCCGCGUGUGUGAAGAAGGCCUUCGGGUUGUAAAGCACUUUUGUCCGGAAAGAAAUCCUUGGCUCUAAUACAGUCGGGGGAUGACGGUACCGGAAGAAUAAGCACCGGCUAACUACGUGCCAGCAGCCGCGGUAAUACGUAGGGUGCAAGCGUUAAUCGGAAUUACUGGGCGUAAAGCGUGCGCAGGCGGUUUGCUAAGACCGAUGUGAAAUCCCCGGGCUCAACCUGGGAACUGCAUUGGUGACUGGCAGGCUAGAGUAUGGCAGAGGGGGGUAGAAUUCCACGUGUAGCAGUGAAAUGCGUAGAGAUGUGGAGGAAUACCGAUGGCGAAGGCAGCCCCCUGGGCCAAUACUGACGCUCAUGCACGAAAGCGUGGGGAGCAAACAGGAUUAGAUACCCUGGUAGUCCCACGCCCUAAACGAUGUCACUAGUUGUUGGGGAUUCAUUUCCUUAGUAACGUAGCUAACGCGUGAAGUUGACCGCCUGGGGAGUACGGUCGCAAGAUUAAAACUCAAAGGAAUUGACGGGGUCAUAGCUGUUUCCU